AGAGUUUGAUCCUGGCUCAGAAUCAACGCUGGCGGCGUGCCUAACACAUGCAAGUCGCACGAGAAAGGGUAGCAAUACCUGAGUAAAGUGGCGCACGGGUGAGUAACACGUGAAUAAUCUACCUCCGAGUGGGGAAUAACUUAGGGAAACCUGAGCUAAUACCGCAUAACACUUACGAGUCAAAGCAGCAAUGCGCUUGGAGAGGAGUUCGCGGCAGAUUAGUUAGUUGGCGGGGUAAUGGCCCACCAAGACGAUGAUCUGUAUCCGGCCUGAGAGGGCGCACGGACACACUGGAACUGAAACACGGUCCAGACUCCUACGGGAGGCAGCAGUGGGGAAUUUUGCGCAAUGGGGGAAACCCUGACGCAGCAACGCCGCGUGGAGGAUGAAAUCCCUUGGGAUGUAAACUCCUUUCGAUCGGGACGAUUAUGACGGUACCGGAAGAAGAAGCCCCGGCUAACUUCGUGCCAGCAGCCGCGGUAAUACGAGGGGGGCGAGCGUUGUUCGGAAUUAUUGGGCGUAAAGGGUGCGUAGGCGGUUUGAUAAGUCUGAUGUGAAAUCUAUGGGCUCAACCCAUAGCCUGCAUUAGAAACUGUCGGGCUUGAGUAUGGGAGAGGUGAGUGGAAUUUCCGGUGUAGCGGUGAAAUGCGUAGAUAUCGGAAGGAACACCUGUGGCGAAAGCGGCUCACUGGACCAUUACUGACGCUGAUGCACGAAAGCUAGGGGAGCAAACAGGAUUAGAUACCCUAGUAGUCC
Molecule: ribosomal RNA, 756 nt
Filed under: uncultured bacterium
Lineage: Bacteria
Description: bacterial SSU rRNA
Rfam family: Bacterial small subunit ribosomal RNA
Source: RNAcentral